UACGUAGGGUGCGAGCGUUAAUCGGAACUACUGGGCGUAAAGCGUGCGCAGGCGGUUUUGUAAGUCAGAUGUGAAAUCCCCGGGCUUAACCUGGGAACUGCGUUUGAAACUGGGGAGCUCGAGUGUGGAAGAGGGGGGUGGAAUUCCAGGUGUAGCAGUGAAAUGCGUAGAGAUCUGGAGGAACACCGAUGGCGAAGGCAGCCCCCUGGGCUAACACUGACGCUCAUGCACGAAAGCGUGGGGAGCAAACAGG
RNAcentral lists this ribosomal RNA (253 nucleotides) under uncultured bacterium. RNAcentral's name for it is "partial 16S ribosomal RNA". It matches the Rfam family "Bacterial small subunit ribosomal RNA", at positions 524 to 776 of the family's 1533-position model. The record is from RNAcentral.